AACGCAGGCGGUCUUUUAAGUCUGAUGUGAAAGCCUUCGGCUUAACCGAAGUCGUGCAUUGGAAACUGGGAGACUUGAGUGCAGAAGAGGAGAGUGGAACUCCAUGUGUAGCGGUGAAAUGCGUAGAUAUAUGGAAGAACACCAGUGGCGAAAGCGGCUCUCUGGUCUGUAACUGACGCUGAGGUUCGAAAGCGUGGGUAGCAAACA
RNAcentral lists this ribosomal RNA (207 nucleotides) under uncultured bacterium. Its description in RNAcentral is "partial 16S ribosomal RNA". It matches the Rfam family "Bacterial small subunit ribosomal RNA", at positions 568 to 774 of the family's 1533-position model. The record is from RNAcentral.